This 87-nucleotide non-coding RNA is filed under the name Aquabacterium sp. NJ1. RNAcentral's name for it is "Burkholderia RNA 7 (anti-hemB)". It matches the Rfam family "Burkholderia RNA 7 (anti-hemB)". Rfam says of the family: This RNA motif was identified by computational search in b-proteobacteria Burkholderia. The record is from Rfam by way of RNAcentral. Lineage: Bacteria; Pseudomonadati; Pseudomonadota; Betaproteobacteria; Burkholderiales; Sphaerotilaceae.
UCCCUGCUUUUCCUCCCUGAGCAGGUGCCUUACCGUGAUGACAGCGUUAAGGCUUGAAAGCCCCGGCUCGCGCCGGGGCUCUUUUUU